GGGCAGCAGCUAGGAGUAUUGCGCAAUGGACGAAAGUCUGACGCAGCGACGCCGCGUGCGGGAUGAAGGCCUUCGGGUCGUAAACCGCUAAACUCCGAGAUCAAAUCGGAGGAUAAGUGCCUGCUAACUACGUGCCAGCAGCCGCGGUAAUACGUAGGGCACAAGCGUUAUCCGGAAUUACUGGGUGUAAAGGGUCCGCAGGCGGUCUAUUAAGUCUCCUGUUAAAGCCCCCGACUUAAUCGGGGAAAGGCGGGAGAUACUGAUAGACUAGAGUGAGUUCGGGGCUACUGGAACUUGUCAUGUAGGGGUGAAAUCCGUGGAUAUGACAAGGAACACCGAGGGCGAAGGCGGGUAGCUAGGAUUUUACUGACGCUCAGGGACGAAAGCUAGGGGAGCAAACUGGAUUAGAUACCCGAGUAGUC
RNAcentral lists this ribosomal RNA (422 nucleotides) under uncultured microorganism. RNAcentral describes it as "bacterial SSU rRNA". It matches the Rfam family "Bacterial small subunit ribosomal RNA", at positions 346 to 795 of the family's 1533-position model. The record is from RNAcentral.